AAAGUCGUAACAAGGUUUCCGUAGGUGAACCUGCGGAAGGAUCAUUAACACGUAUCCACGUAUUUAUCAACCAACCACCACGAACCGUUCUCCCCGAGACUUACCUAACCGCAAGGCUGUGUUGUAAGGUUAAGGCGGGCCCCGCCUGUGCGCUUGUCGUACGGCCGUAAGGACCAUCUUAUAACACUAUCGAUCCGUUGAGAUCGUGGCUGAGUACCUGGUUUGUCGGGCUUUACUAUCACUCCAAUAGCACUUCACCGUCUGCGUGUGCGUUGGUGUGAGACCAUAACCUGUUUCACCCUAUUUUGACCAAUUGGCUAAUAUUUACCGAUGGAGAGAGAAAUCUCUCGAUCUCUAAGAUUUAUCUUAACUAAGCACAACUCUUAGCAAUGGAUAUCUUGGUUCUC
This 407-nucleotide unclassified non-coding RNA is filed under the name Basidiomycota sp. RNAcentral describes it as "partial contains small subunit ribosomal RNA, internal transcribed spacer 1, and 5.8S ribosomal RNA". The stretch from base 1 to 47 matches the Rfam family "Eukaryotic small subunit ribosomal RNA", at positions 1785 to 1831 of the family's 1831-position model. The record is from RNAcentral. Lineage: Eukaryota; Fungi; Basidiomycota.